AUGCAUCACGACCCCAACCCCUUCGACGAGGGCACCGCCGGCGACGAAAACCCCUUCUCCAAUGGAGGAGGCCGCGGCGGGAAGCAGCAGCACGGCUUCCGGCCCACCGAGCCCGUCGGCUUCGGCGGCGGCGGCAGCAGGGGCGACGCCACCGUCGACGUGCCCCUCGGCAACAUGGGCGACUCGAAUGGCAAGGCGAGGGAGCUCUCGUCGUGGGAAUCAGAUCUGAGGCGUCGUGAGGCGGAUAUCAAAAGGAGGGAGGAAUCGCUGAAGAAUGCUGGAGUGCCCAUGGAGGAGAAGAAUUGGCCGCCUUUUUUCCCGAUUAUCCACCAUGACAUCGCCAAUGAGAUACCUGCAAACGUGCAGAAGUUACAGUAUCUGGCGUUUGCAAGCUGGCUUGGAAUUGUGCUCUGCCUCUCCUGGAACUUUAUUGCUGUCAUAGUCUGCUGGAUCAAGGAGGGAGAUUCAAAGCUGUUCUUCCUUGCUACAAUCUAUGCUUUGCUUGGAAUUCCCCUUUCUUACUUGAUGUGGUAUCGACCCCUCUAUCGUGCAAUGAGGACUAACAGUGCAUUCAGUUUUGGAUGGUUUUUCCUGUGUUACCUGAUCCACAUUGGUUUUUGCAUAAUUGCUGCCAUUGCUCCACCAAUUGUAUUCCAAGGGAAAUCAUUAACGGGCAUAUUGGCCGCGAUCGACACUUUCUCUGAGCAUUUGAUAAUUGGGAUCUUUUACUUCGUGGGGUUUGCACUAUUUUGCUUGGAGACACUGCUGAGCAUCGGGGUUCUUCAGAAAGUAUACAUGUACUUCCGAGGGCAUAAGUGA
This 819-nucleotide ribosomal RNA is filed under the name Triticum aestivum (bread wheat). RNAcentral's name for it is "partial small subunit ribosomal RNA". Lineage: Eukaryota; Viridiplantae; Streptophyta; Magnoliopsida; Poales; Poaceae. The record is from RNAcentral.